UACCUCACUUUGCUACUGCUGUAAUUAAAGAAUAGCAAUCGGUUCAAUUUUAUUUUAUUUUAUUUUAUUUUAUUUUUUUUAAAGAUUUUAUUUAUUUGACAGAGAGAGCACAAGCAGAGGGAGAGAGAGGGAGAAGCAGGCUCCCUGCUGAGCAAGGAGCCCGAUGCAGGACUCUAUCCCAGGACCCUGGGACCAUGACCCGGGCCGAAGGCAGCCGCUUAACCGACUGAGCCACCCAGGCGCCCAAUCGGUUCAAUUUUAAUAAAGCUUCCUGCUUCAUCCUGCACCUGCCUUCUUGAAAGAAAACAAGACAUCAGAUACUUAUUCAAAUAAUGGAAUAGCUGAUCAACUAGGUCUCCACACAAUAAUGCUCAGCAGUAUGAGGCCAAUGUCUAUUUUCAUUGCUGCUGGCUCCUCACUACCUGGAAUGGUCUUGCUGAAUUGACUGGAACCUGAGGAAGUUUUUGGAAGUGAUAGCAUUCUGAGACAGGAUACAGGAUUUCCACAGGUCUGCUAGACUCCCCCAAACUCAAAAACCUUUAAAAUACAUAGAUCAUCCAGUGAAGGCCAUUCACCAGGAAGAAAGUUCUCUGCAGAAUAGGACUCAAUCUUCCACACAGCUGCCUCAGUGCCUGGAGAAGGGAUCCAACCUGAGGACUCACACAUGCGUGCCAAGGGAGGAGGAAGGACGGCUUCAGCAAGUUUUGCUCUGAAUUAAAAUUAUGUUAAAUUGAUAGAUUAAUUUGAACACUGCCACCCCAGCUUUCUUUUGAUGUCCUUUAACAUGGUAAAUGGUUUUCCACCCCCUCACUUUCAAUCUGGUGGUGUCUU
Molecule: long non-coding RNA, 831 nt
Organism: Zalophus californianus (California sea lion)
Lineage: Eukaryota; Metazoa; Chordata; Mammalia; Carnivora; Otariidae
Exons: 4
Source: RefSeq, a predicted model, not a curated record